AUUUAAAUAGUUUAUAUAAAAUAUUAAUUUGUGGAAUUAAAGAAAUUAGUUAAAAGUUUUAAAUA
This 65-nucleotide transfer RNA is filed under the name Agulla arizonica. Its description in RNAcentral is "tRNA-His". Lineage: Eukaryota; Metazoa; Arthropoda; Insecta; Raphidioptera; Raphidiidae. The record is from RNAcentral.